GAAGCAUAAAUAAAUGGAAAAAUGGGGGAAACAGGGCUGUAACACACGUGACGACGGGUUGGGUCGUCACAAAGAAUAAUCUUGAUCCUAAUUAAAGUUGACAAGUGAAGAAGCAUCUCAAAGAAAGUAAGUUACUUAUUUGAGUAAGUUUUGGAUUUAAAUAUAUUUUAUUUACUGAGAUACCAGGAAAGAGUUUAUUGAAGUUCAACGAAGAAACUCACAGAAAUAAUUCAAAGAAUAUCAUGUCGUUCUUGCAAGACAUAUUGGGGGUUCAACUAUAAUGGGACGUCAUUGACUACAAGGUUCAAAAUGUCAUAUAGAUUAAUCUACCUUUUCCACAAUGUCUGUACAACUACAUUUAAGAAUCAUGGAAGACGGAAAAAUGCUUGUCUCUUUCACCAUGAGUAGUUCAUCAAAAUUUGAAUCUUUCAUCCUUGUUUCAAUGGAUGAAGACAUAAUACUAGAUUUUAACCUGAACCUUUCGGUUCUUAUCAACACAGUAUUUUAGUCAUAUACUAUUACAGGUUUGAUGUUGAUUUCCAAGAUGCCUCCGGCUCAGAAUUCAUCGGGAGACCAAGGCAAAACAGAACAACUUUGAAGUUCAAGAUUGUUAUUAUUCCUUUUAAAUUUCAAGAAUCUGUUUGUUUGAUGUGUUUCAUGAUUGAUGUCAGAGAAUGCUGCAGUUGAUGCUCAACAAAAAGGAGAAGCUGCUGGAAUGCAGAUGGUGUUAAAGAAAAAAACAACAUAAUCACUGAUGGUGAAAGUAAAGAUUAUUAUGAGAAACCUGCAGCUUUACCUACUUAUGACCCUUCAACAGCUAAAGAACCUCACCUUGAGAACUAUGAAGAUGGCAAAAGAGAUGAAAUAAGAGAGACGCAGCUUAAGCAUCCUUUUCAAUGUACAAGAUUUCAAACAGCUGCAAAUGAUUUAGUGAGUCAACUCACUGAUAUUGAAACGCAUAAUUUUGAUCAACCUAUGGACUCAGUUUUGGAGGGGAAGGAUGAUCUUCAUGACCAACCAUAUAACCAGGAAGGUGAGGCAGAAGAAAGUUUACCUCAUGAUGAAGUUUUAAAGACCGAUGCAGGUGAAUCCUCAAGUGUUGCCGGUGAGACAGUAGAAUAAUGCAUCAUAUCAUCAUCACUUGAAGAACAAGAAACUACAAGGAAUGGAAGAUCAGGCCAGAAUGAAGAUAACCGACAUUGGUUAAGGCAGCAAAGAAAGAACUCUUUUGAUGCACCAAAGAAUAAAUAUGAGUUACCAACUGAACAAGGUAAAGCAAGUCCCUACUGCAGCUCACCCUUGAAUUUUUGGCUUGUAUAUAUUGCUGUGAUAUAACAUAAGGUUCUAAUCCUUUUGUUCAGUACUAUUGCAAAAGAAUGUUUAUAACAACAAAGGUCUGUGGAAUAAUCGACUUUCAAGAAGGAUACAAAUGUGAAGCAACAACUGUUCACGAGCUGCUGGUACUGCGACCUCCCCUGCAACCUUAUAUAGCAACCACGUGUUGUGUACAUGUCUGUAGCUACUUUACUCAUCUUUAGUGCUGAUUGAAAAUCAUCAAAAGCUAUUCGAGAAAAAGAAUCACAAAGUAUCAAGAUUGUUACUGCAAAUCCUAGGAAGCCCGACAAUGUGACAUAACUUCAGGCAACAUGGUGGUGAAUCUUUCGUCAAACGAUGGAUGGACAACCCUAAGUUGUUGUUCGUCAUCCAGUUUCUCCUCCAUCACCAUCUGUUAGUUCAGCUGUUCCAGCAACAGAUAAAAAAGAGACAAUUUUUUGUUAGACUUGAUAAUUUAGCUACCCUUAAUGUUAUAAGGAGUGUUUUGUAAUGACUAUUAAAUUUUUUGUUAUGAUAAUAUCUGAAUCCCUUAUUACCAAAAAAUAGUAUGAAGCAGCGACGCUUCCUUUC
Nicotiana attenuata is the source of this 1905-nucleotide long non-coding RNA. RefSeq lists it as uncharacterized. NCBI's taxonomy places the organism in Eukaryota, Viridiplantae, Streptophyta, Magnoliopsida, Solanales, Solanaceae. The transcript is spliced from 9 exons. The record is from RefSeq and is a predicted model, not a curated record.